CCCCCUAAGUCCUGCGCCUCGCGGAAGUCCUAGCACCACCACGUUUGCACACUCAUCCCUGCCUCUGCGGUGGGGGCGGGGGGAGAUGGGUGGGGUGCUUCUGGCUCAGGAGACCCAGCCACCUGCAAAAGGUGUGGCCCUGUGGCUUUGGAAGGUGAAGAGGGCCGCGGGUUGCCUGGGUGAGGCUACCUGUGAAUUGCCUCGGGAAGACCAAAUGGAUGCAAUGGAUUCGGCCAUGUGGAUGCAGCUCACGUUUCUGCGAAGUUGAGAGAGUAAAUCACGACUGCUGUGCAUGUAUGCACGAAUAAAAUGACACAGAGCUUUUUACCCCUUGGCUUCGUAGAAGGCUUUCUCCUUGCACACAGUGGGCGCUUCAUAAGCCUUAAGUGCCUGUUCAGAGGGAUUUGAUGGGCUGUCCAGAAUGGGAACUAAUCAUGAGAAUGGUUUGCAAAAUGACAUUGAAAACAGAAUUCUGAUGAGUAAUUGUCAGGCUUUGAAAUUUUCAAAGUUUCAACAUACCUCCUUAAUGGCCUUUCCCAUCUCUUCUGAUGAAAGUGAGAUAAAAGAGCGAGCGAGGCUCUCAAGUUCUGGUGGUCUUAAAAGUGGUUUUGAUAAGAGUAGCAAACCUGCUGAUUCAUAUCAUGUCUGAGUAGUCAUAAUUAAAAGUGCUCCGAGUACAAAAUAAAUUUCUCAUUAUGGCUUACACUCUAGCGAUGCAGAGUUUCAAGAGAAAUUUUCCUAGUUCACUUUUCUCCUCCUACUCCUUAAUCUAAAUGGGGAUGAUAAAUGUAAAUAAUAGAAUUGUAAAAGUAUGCAUUAUGUGAAUAUGUGUGGAUGGUAGCCCCUGACCUGCAAAAAACUCAUCCUAUGUCCCAUCCAUUUCAUCAGUUGUAGCAGGAUAAACAAAAUUUCAUGUAAGUUGAGUAAUAAUUUUACCUGGUUGCCUACCUACUUAGCUGAUUAAAAGACAAUAUAAAUAUUUAAUUUAGGGCUAACAGGAAUUAAACACAAUUAUUCCUUUUGAAUUAACUUGCAGUCAGAUGAUUUAGACAAGCAGUUGGUAAAUCAUAAGUUUCUUUCUUGAGUUGGCAGAAGUUGGCCCAGGAUUGUAGAGAUAUCUUUUAGGAGGGUCAAGGGUUUAUGAAUUGUCUGAAAUUAAACUAUUAAGUGAUGAUAUCUACUCCCAAAGGGCUAAUAUUUUUCUUUUAAUGGUGAAAGUAUUGAAAACUUAAGUUUAGAUUGUUUGGCAGAGAUAAGAAUUAUUAUACUUGGGAAACAGUUUGAUCCAGAAAACUUUUUGAAAAAUAGAUGUUAAAAUGAGCAAAUACUUGAAUCCAAAACUUGAAGAGCAUCUCUGGAACUGCUGAGAUGAGAAGAGGCCCCUCACCUUUAAAGGGCAGCUGGCCGUACAGAGAUAGGAAUUGAUCUCAUGAAGAGGAACAACAUCCGGGUUAGUUGGCACUGUAUAAAUAUACUCUGGAUGAGGGGCUAAGAGUAAAAAUAUGAAAGUACUUAUGAAAGCUCUACAUUUUUAUGAUUUAUUGUGGUUUACUCUAUACACUUUUGGAGAUAAUGAGAUUUUUAAAUAAGUGGUUGCUUUACUGGUUCAAUGUCUUAAUCAGCUAGUGGCCACAUUAAAGAUUCAUGAAAAGACCCAAGAUGUGAGUGUUAUUUUACUUUCAUUCAUGGGUCUUAUUUAGUCUUGUAGAUAACCUUGAGAGGGUUAGAGAUAUGACUCUUUUUGAACAGUUACCAUUUAAUCACUAGUCAAAAGCCCUGACCGAAUUUUCAAAGCCUGUAGUUUUUACUAUGCCUAUUCUUUAUCAUUCAAAUCACUACAUUAACUUGUGAAUGGCAGUCUUUCCUGUAAAUGAAUACUUCGAUGCAUUUUUAUGUGCAUGGCGGUUCUGACUAUUGAACCAACAGCGUCACCUUCAGAACACACCCUUUUUACCUUGCAGCUCCAUCCGCAGCUUGUCUUUGCCUCUUCCCAUUUCUAGUUAGGGACAAGGGCCUGUGGCUUCAAAGACAAAGAAAUGUGCUUUCAGUAGCCGUUGUCUUAAGCAGUUUUCUCCUCCUUGAAGAUGCUAUACCUCUUCUGAUUUGCUUUCCGCUUUUAUGCCUUUCAUCUUCCUGCUAGUUCGGUAAUGGAGUGAGUUCCCAUCCCAGUGAAAAGCCCAAGUAUUCUAAGCCAAAGCCUUCUCACACCUGCUCGCUUACAUUGCCUUAAAACACCCCACAGCCUGGUAACUGAAGUGGUACUCUCACAGCCCUGGUGUCAGUCCACACAGAGCCCUGGUGUCGUUUCCUGGAGACCAGAGAAGCUUCUCAUGAGUGUAACUGACCAGGAAGCACCAUAGUGACUCCUGCCUGCUUGAAAGGGAUCAGACACACCUCUGCAGCUUGUCACCUUCUGACUGUGGACAGCUUGUCACCCUCUGACUUAUGUACACGGUGUCUGUUUUGUAAAACGAAGAUAAUAAAAACGUCUGCCUCAUAAGGUGUUAAAUGGGGACUAAAUGAGAUUAUAUUGGUAAAAGACUCAUCUACGGUAUUAAAUCAUCUACAUCAUUCAA
Non-coding RNA from Peromyscus maniculatus bairdii (prairie deer mouse), 2576 nucleotides. The record is from RefSeq and is a predicted model, not a curated record. NCBI's taxonomy places the organism in Eukaryota, Metazoa, Chordata, Mammalia, Rodentia, Cricetidae.